Cornus florida is the source of this 600-nucleotide long non-coding RNA. RefSeq lists it as uncharacterized. The record is from RefSeq and is a predicted model, not a curated record. NCBI's taxonomy places the organism in Eukaryota, Viridiplantae, Streptophyta, Magnoliopsida, Cornales, Cornaceae. The transcript has 2 exons.
UUGAGCUACAUUGUGAUGCUGUGUAUGAGAUACUCGAGAGCUAAAAAUGUUUGAGUGACUUUCAGAGAAAUACUUAAGGUUUUGAGCUGAAUUUGUUCUCUGAAAUCAGUAUGAAGUGUGUGCUAAUUUACUGAAGAACAUAAGGACCUGUGAUGCUGUUUUCUGGUGCAAACAAUGAGGAUUGGGAGGUGAAAAUCUGUAGUGAUUACUUUUGGAGCUUGAACAAGGUCUGAGCAAGUGUAUCUUGAGGGUUUACAUCAGCUGAAGUGGCCUAAGACAACAUAUUAAGGCUGGAUCACCACAAUGCAUCAUCGAUCUCGGCACCGGUUGUUCUAAAUGAAGAAUUUGAAAUACUUUCGCAAACUUUCACCCGUAUUAUAUGUCAAUAGGAGCGUGUAUUUGGACAGAAGCUACAAUAGCAUUUCGAUUUUGGAGUUCAAGGGGUAAACAACGAGCAGAGCACAUCUAAACUAGUUUAUGAACAAACCUGGAGGACGUUAAAACCUCUCAAUGAUGGACAUUGUGUAACAAGCUGUUGGGAUUUAUAUGCCCUGACAUAGCAAAUUCCUAUUUUUAUUAUAGUGACAUAUAUUCUUGACA